UCCACUGGAACUUCUGUGCUGGUUGUCUCUGCAGCUGGUGCUUCAGCUGGCUUCUCUUCUUCUGCUGGUUUCUCUUCCUCAACAGGAGCUGGUGCUGCCUCCUUCUUGGUCUCUUCUUUGGGCUCCUCAGUAACAGUUUCUGCAGGAGUCUCCUCAGGAGUUUCUUCUACUGCUGGAGCUGCAACCUCUUCAGGCUCAGCUUUUGCUGGUUCUUCAACAACCUCCUUGGUUUCAACCUCAACUGCAGGUUCAGCUUCAGGUUCUGCGGCCGGGGCAACAGCGGGUGCUGCUUCUGUUAGUUCUUCGGCUACUGGCUCAGAGGCGGGUGGUGCAGUUUCAGUGGUUGUCUCCUCGGUCUUGGUCACCUCAGGUACCUCAGCCUCUGGAAUUGCUGGAGCAGCUGCAACCUGCAACAAUAAGCAUACUGAUAUUUAUCUCAAAAUGUAUAAUCCAAUGGAAGAAAGCUAGAAGAAGGGUUCUUUAAGAUUCAUUUUUUCUUAAUCAUCUGCUGAUCAUCCAUUCUAUCUACAGAAGUAGUUUCCUUUAACAACAAUCAACAAAAGCUUAGAAUAUGUAGAAUUCUUGCUAGAACAUAAAGAAACCUGUAGGUUGAUCAAGAAAAGAAGUUUCAAUAAACUGUAAGAUUGAAUCCUCUCCAUCGCAAUCCUCAUAUAAACAGAAGGAUCGGAUGAAAUCUAGCAUAGACAAUAUUGGAGUGGUCUAUCACUUGAGCUAGAGGUAGAAAUUUGAUCAUCAUCAAUAUAACAAGAUCAGGUUAUGAAACUUAUUUGAUCAUAAAAGUAGUAAACAACAAAUUAUAACUUGAUCAAUAAGAUAAUAUUAUACAAAAGGGCUAAUCAAUUAAUACAAGUUGAUGAAUAUCAGAUAUUAUUGUAAAACUAAAAUGAGACUGAGUGAUAUAUCACUUGAGCAAGAUCAAGAUGGGUUGUAAUAGCAUUCCACUAAGAAAUAUUUUAGAAGACAUUUUUACCUCAACAGUAGCCAUUUGGUUAAAAGCUAACAGGAUUGAAGAAAGAUUGGAGAAAAGGAGGAAGGAGGGUUGGUGUAGGCACAGGAGAAGGAUGCUUGUGAGCUAGUGAAGUGAAGAGAUGAUCAAUGAGAGAGCUAUUUAUAGAGGAGUGAUGAAAUGCAUAGAUUAAUGAGAGCAUGAGAUCAUAGGGAGCAUGCUCACUUGAAGAAUCUUUCAACAUAGACACCUCAUAUUGCUGUCAAGACACAGUGGCAUGUCUUGCUAGUUGUAAAUAUUUUAUUUCUUUUUUAAUUUUGAGAUAAGGGUUUUUUUUUAUAUGAUUUUAAUAGCUAGGAUUGACAAAUACUUGAUCCAACAAUGAAUUGGCAAUGCCAUAUGGUGGAGGCCAUUUCUCGUAUCAGCAUCAUAUCUUUCUUUUGAGUGGGUUCCUAUGUGUUUUUUUUUUCCCCAGUAGGGCAUAAUGUAGGUUAAUUACUGCUUAAAUCCCAUAUGAUGCAUUCAUGUUUCUGUGUAGGAUUUCUAUUUGAUCUUCUGUUAAUUUGUAAUAUUCUAAUUAACCUUGCAUUUUUUUUUAAUCUUUUGAUAUUUUAGUGGAAUAUCCACGGCUAGAUCAUGUUGAUAUCUAAAUCGAUAAGAAUUCAUGUGUUUUUCUUUUUAAUUUAUAUUGUUUGGAUUCAUAUUUAUAUUCUAUCCAUUAUUCAUGUAUAAAUAUUCAAUAUCAAACACAAAUAUUAUAGGAUAAAAUAAAAGUUUUUUAUAUAAGAUUUAUUUGUUUCUCAUCUUAAAAAAUUAGAAAUCAAAUCCCACUUUUUCUAUAUAUAUAAUGCAAAGAAGGUGCAAGAUUCUACCAAAAAAUAUUAAAAAAGAAAAAAAUAAUAAUCAAAUAAACUCUGUAAUUAUUGAAAUAAUAAUAAAAAAUGGUGCAUACACUAUUGCAAACCCUAAAAAGGACAGAAAUGGUGUCUCAUCCAAGAAUCAAGGCUCCUUAGUGCUAAUCUUCAUGAUAAUCAAAACCAGUGGCGUACAAGUAAUGACAAAUUUAUUUCAUAUUUUGACAUAAUCACAUGCCAAGCAAUAUAUUUGUAUGUACUAAUGGAGUACAAAAAUAGUUUUGCCAUUUGAGAACAUCAAGAUCUUCAGCCUCCACGUUAUAGCUGAAUGCAGAUCUUGUCCAUAAUUGUUUUGUUUAAUUAUUCCCAAUUAUUCUAAUUAAGUACUAAACUUAAAGAGACGAGUUUUAAUUAUUUUUUUUGUUUGAUUAAUUUUUUAUUUUUUUUUGCAUAUAUAGAUUGGAAUGAGGAUUUGGGAAGCUAGGAUAUUGAUGCAUGCAUAAUGUUUUUCAGUCGAACCCUAAUUAUGCUUACCUUUUAUUUUAUCAUUUCACCAUUUUGGAUUCAAAUUUAUAUGAAGGUUAUAAGGGAAAAAAACUAUCAUAAAUUUAAAUAUAUUAAUUCGGAUAUAUAUGAAUGAUGUGUUUAAAAAUUGAUAGAAAAAUAACUUAAUCUUGACAUAUUAAAACUAACUUGAAAUACUUUUAUAAUGAAAACAAACAAAUAUAUAUAUAUAUAUGAUUCUUUUUAAUCACUUUUAGUAUAGAUAUCAGUUAUUAUAUAGAAAUUAAUGAGAUUUUUUUGUUCAAGAGUAAGGAAUAUCUUCAAACAAGUUUUUGUAUCAACCAUGAUAUCUUCGCUUCUAAACUAAAAGAAUUAAAAUAAUAUUUUUUAAUUUAAAAAUAUAAAUGUAACCACAGUCAUACCUGUAUUUCCAAAUACAUAUUAAAUAUUAUUCUCAAAUUUUAAAAACUUAUAUUUUAUAUCAAUUUAAUUCUAAUAACAAGUUAUAUUAAAAAACACGGGCACAAUUAUAUAUCCUUGUUUCCGAACUAAAAACAUUGAAAUGAUAUUUUUUAUUCAAAAAUAAAAAUGCAACAGCAAUCAUGCUUUUGUUACCAAAUAGAUUCUAAGUAUUAUUCUUAUACGAUUUAAAAAAACAUACCUCAUAUGUUAAUGUGAUUAGUUGAAAAAAGUUAAGGUGCUCUUUUCUCCAAAGUAAUAUUCAACAAAUAUUAAUUAUGAGGAGUGUAGCUUAACUGGUAAAAUUUUGAGUUUACUCUCCAGAGAUUACCAAUUUGAGUGUUACAAACUUCAGGGCUACUGAAGAUUUACAUGGUCGUUAAUUUUAGGAUCUCGAGAAAUUAAUUAAGAUACGCGUAAUCUAACCCAAAUACUCAAAAUUAACAAUAUUUAUAUAUAUAUAUUCAACAAAUAUUUGCGGCAGCUUUGGUAUCUACACAUAUAAUGAUAGUAUUAGGGCAAAGAAAGGCUAAUUGAAGGCACUUUUAGGGCAUGAAAACACUAAUUAAGGGCCUGCCUUUUACUGUUGUGGUCAAAUAAUUUGCCAUUUUUAAGGUUUUUCACUUUUUCACUUUCCACAAACCACAAACAUUUUCAUAUUUUAGUAUCGACGUGGAGCCCAACAAAAGCCAGCAAUGGUGUCUAGGCCGGUGCCUGAAGUGGGGCCUUCAAUCACCGGCUAUGAUCAUUACCAUCCAAAUGACUCCUGUUGGAUGGCCCCCACAAUAAAAAUUGAAACAAUUUUGGUGCCAUGGUUUUUUUCUUUUCAUGGUAAUGUUCUCAAGUUGUUUUUAUAUAUUAAUUUCAUUUUACUUUACGUUUUUAAUUAGAUUAAAACAAGUUUUUCUUAUUGAUAUUAAGAUUUCGUAUAGCUACUGUUUUUUUAAAAGAUUCAUAAUAAAAAAAAUUAUUAUUGAACGCAAAAAACAUGUCAAGAUUAUAAAUAAAUAAAUAUAACCUUAUUAUCUCUUGAUGGUUUCAAAGAAAAAAAAAAGAGAUUUGAAUUAUAGUACCAGAAAGAAGUACCAUGGACCAUGAUUUUGCUUCUUUUUUUUUUCCUUCUUUAGAAAGAAGUACCAUGGACCAUGAUUUUGCUUCUUUUUUUUUUCCUUCUUUAUAUAUAUAACCCUUUUAUAUAUAUAUAUAUAUAUAUAGCCUUGGAAACCGACCUUCCUAAAGAUGGAGCUUUUGGUGGGCCAACGUCUACAUGCUUUCCAGGUAGGACUCUCGUGAUGUUGGGACCCACUUUCAGCCGUCUGAUUUGCCACGCUUGAUCACAGUCAUUGAUCUGAUCUUGUCUUCGUACAAUGCCAUCUCAUUUCUCCAAUACCAAAAUAAAAAAAAAAAACCUUCCACUCCAUGUCUUUAAAAUAUGAUAUUUUUUUAAUUAAUCAGGUAUUAGAUUUAAUCUGUAAUAAUCACGAGUUGGAGUUCUUUCAGGACCACUGGAAACUUACAUAAUCGUUAACUUCAGGACCCGUGAAAUUAGUCGAAGUGCACAUAAGCUAGUCCGGACACCCACGUUAAUAAAAAAAAUAGUAUUUUUUAGGUUAAAAAUCUUGUAUUUUAAUAUCAUCUACUAUAUUUAUGAAAAAAUUAUAUUAAAAAAUUCAUUAUGGAUACAUAAUUAUAUAAUCUAUCUAAAAAGUAAUUAAAAAUGUAUUUUCUUUUCAAUGUUAAAAAUAUUAUAGGUCCAACUUGUAAUCUAUUUUUUUUUUUCCAGAAAAAGCUAGACAUCCAAAAUUCAAAACAACAGGAUGAAAAGCUAAUUGAAAAGCUAAUUUAUCGGAAAAGAAAAAAGAACAAAUUAAAUGUGCAUCGCAUCUCAAUUUAAAUUCAUGUACAUGUUGAUCAAGAGUGGUAAUUAAAAUACCAUAAAUGUGUUCAUAACAAUAAAUAUAUAUAUAUAUAUAUAUAUAUAUAUAUAUAUAUAUAUAUAUAUAUAUAUAUAUAAAUGCGAGAAAUGAUCGACCUAUUUGCACCUUGAAAGGAACAUGAUACCAUCACACCACAACAAGAGGUCCUCUGUCAUUAUGAGACUUUGCAUGACAAUCCAUUUUGCACCCUAUAGAAGAACUUGCAUUAAACCACAAUAUUAAUUACUCAAAUUAUUGUUGAACAACAAUAUUCCUCUCAUUAAUUUACCUUCAUUGCUUGAUAGGAGAAGAAAGCAAUCAAAAUAUAAGAAAGAAUGUUUGUGGAUUCAGCUAUGAAUUGGUUUGUUUCUAACAUUAUCGUUCAUAUUUAAAUUUAAAGAAAAAGAAAAAAAAGAAAAAAAUAAUAACUUUUGGCAUACUAAGAAUGUAUUUUUAAUCCAAAAACAACUAAAAAUUAAAUUAGUGUUUUUUUUUCAGAAAAAAAAAUUAAAUAGCACUUUAAAAAACAGGUUUAUCUACGCAAACAAACACUUGGUGUAUAGAACUAAUUUAAAAAUAUAUUGGCCCAUAAAGAAUUUCUUCUAAAAAGAGAACUACAGAUAGGAAUGGUGCGUGUGUCAUCUUCUCGUUGCCUAUACAUGGACACACUGUAAAGUGAGAAAGAAGAGAUGGGAGGUUUAAGAGGGAUCCUAAAUACGUGACCCCAUGAGAUUAUGAGCCGUUGAGCAGGUAGGAACAUGGCACAUUGGAUGGCUUGACAUGGGACAGCAUGGGCUAACCCUAAUGGCUUCUUGUUAUUGAUUACAUCAACACCCCAAUGGCCAUGAUUUAUAGACAGAGGAAGCUGUGGACUGUGUAGUGAAUCAUUUAGGUUCUUGACAGAUGAACCAUUUCUAUCAAGCUUUCUGUGGGGGCCAUAAAUCAACAUUCCUUCGACUAUGCUUCUCACCCUUUAAAAGGUCGUCGUCUGCAUGUGUGCACCAUCUAGGCUAGGCUAGGCUAGGCUAGCAUUUGAUGCGUUUCUGUAGAGAUCGGGAGUUUCACUGGUAUAAUAUAUACCUCCGUGUUUGCACAUCAAAAUAAUUUUAUAUUUUUUUUAGAUAAACAGUGUUUCAGCUGUAAUACCUAAACGCCUGUUGGAUUGUUUAUACUUUAAUGAUCAUGUAUAUACAGUAUAAUCGAAGGUGUAGAUAGCUUAUAGAUUUUAGAUAAAAUCCACAGAAGAUGAUGUAAACAUGAAAUAAUACUUCUUGAAAGAUUAGCUAUAUAUCGGAUUUGAUCUAACAUCAUUUGUAGUAUCGCAUGGCUAUGUAUUUUCAGCUCUUAAGCCUCUCAACUAGGGAUCAGGAAUCAAGAACCUAAAUAGUAUAUAAGCUUCGAAUAUGAUCACCUCUCUCCUAAAAAAAAAAAAAACAUUUUCAAAACAAAACCCACUAUAAAUCUAUGAGUUAAAACAAUACAUUUUAGAAGACCAAUUAUGUAACGAAUUUAAGCCAAGAUCAUCGUAUUGAUUAUGUCUUGUAUUUUGGCUGCUAAGAUUCCAACAAGGUUGGUGUAAAAGGAGCUUUCAAUGCCGCCAUAUCAGGAAACUUUACAGCAGGAGGUAACAUUUUACUGUCAUCUAGAUUCAGCAUGUCAAUGUUUUUAAGCAUGUAUGUAAUAAGCAUAACACAAGCCCAUAACGUGUCCAAGCAUGCAAGAGCCAAGAAGGAGCAUCUCAGGACGUACAGGUUUGAAGUUUCAAACCUUGCCAGGUUCAGAGACACACAGUUCUUCCUUCUCUAAAAUUCAACUGAAAUUUGUAAGCAAAUCUUGUAAAUGAAUCUCAUUGAUAUGAAAGGGAGAGCACAGAGUACAGUGCAGAAAUAGAUAAUUGCUCCUCUAGAUAUGAAAUUUCAGUAUUUGGAACUUGAGAGGGAAAUCCACUCUGAGGGUGGCCCAGGGACAGCUUUAUGCUGCUAAAUUUUCUGCUAUAACUUAGCAAUCCACCUGGUCAAUAGAGAAAGUGUUUAACAAAGAAGGGGGGCAGCUCCGACAGGAUACAUCAAUGAAGGUUCGAAGUGACAGAAGUUUCCAACACAGAAUGUCAGCUUAGGCUGAAUCUGUUUAUCUUUUGAAUCUUGUAAAGUUCCCACCAUAUAUGAUGGCUAUCGAGUAAUAAUGCAAUUUACUGUAAACCCUGGAGAAAAAGAAACAAACACCAUAGGAUUGCUCAACCCACUAGAUAAAGGCAUCACUGGUUCGUCCACUCGCAGAAAAAAGAAAGAACAGAUACAAAAAUCAAGCAUUAUCUAAAACCUAGCAUCAUAACACACUACCUGGUAAUUGAUUUCAUUGUCAAGUCAUUAAUAUGUUUCAAAUGUUCUUGGACAGCAAGCUGAAAGAUAUGCGUUUACAGGGAAAGUAUGAUAUUACCACCAGCAGUGUGGAAAAUUUCUCCAAUGGUUGUAAUAAAAUUCGAAUUCAAUCUAAAUGCUACAAUGAUGGAUUCGCUGGUUCUUAUAAUUGUUAGCCAACGCACUGACAGCGAACAAGCAAAACUCCAGUAAGAAUCCAUGAAAGAACAAGGAAGCCUUGUUGAGCAUAAACCCAUUUGGCAGCUGGCGCUUGUUGCCGAAGUUCAGCUCACAAGUUUUUUCAACACUGCUUCAGCACGCUGCUCAAAUUUUGGUAGGGCCCAUUCAUGCUGAAUUAUGUCAAGGCCAUCUUUCUCAGCACUCAAGUUCUGAGGAGAAUACAGAUAGAUAAGAUUAGUAGUCAACAGUUUUUGCUUAACAUUAUACGUACAGAUAUAUACUCACCGAGUUAAAAUAUGAAAGAGAAGUUGUAUGGUACAAAAUUCUUUCUUGGUACAUCUCAUACUUGAACCAUAUAUUUAACUGAUUACAAGGCAAGGCCAGUGGACAUUCUUGCCCAUAAAAUUUAAUUUACAUUUAUAAAGUACAAAUCAGUCCCAACAAUUCCAAUCCCUUUGGAAAAUGCAAUAUAUUCACACCUUUCCAGAUCUUCCAUUACCUGGCUAAAAUUCAACUGAUGAAAACGGGGAUCAAGUAUGUUGUCGGGGUCCCAUAAGAAAGAUUCUCAACAAUAAAAAAUCAAAACCCUAAUCAUGCACAAGACAUUUCUAAAGUAACAAAGAAAAAGAAGCCAAUGCUGUUCAGAAAAGCAGGUUAGUAAUUAUGGUGACAUGCUUAGAAAAUUUAAAACAAAUUAAAGCAGGCAUCAUGGAAUGCCCCACAUGCCUAAUCAUGUAUACCUAUGACCAUUUCAUAAGAGUAUCAUAACCGCACCACCUGAGGAGCAAAAGAGUGGCCGAGGCAGCAAAAUGGACAGCUGGAAAUGAUGGCAGCAGCCAUAAGAGAGGCUAGUCAAAUAGAGAAUGAACAUUACAGCGUUGACCUGAACCAAGCAAGGCCUAACUUUAUAGUGUUGACCUCAUUAUUAUGAAUCAAAUCCCACAUUAUGCUUUCUUUUUGGUGUGUGCAGUGGGGGAAGGUGAUUGGGGGUUCUGUAAAGAAUCUCCAAUGUUAUUCUUUUGGCGUUCGCUUCAAUUGGUGCAAAAUGAUAGAGGAUCCAGACAUGCAGUUAUCCAGAACUGACCAAACCCAACCCACAAUGGCAAACCUAGGCCCAGUACUGAGAAAAUUAAGCUGGCCAAGGGCAACCUCAAGGCUGUCAUCUCCUUUACUCGGUGUCUUAAAUAUUCCUGCCUGCAAUAUUCCUUUUACAACCCACCAGUCAAAUCAGUCUAAUCACAACCCAUUCUCGGCAUAGUGCUAGCAAAAAGCCUUCUAUUUUCGUAGGAAGUGGCGGCAGAUAAUAAUAAUAAAAAGAGCUCUAUACACAAUACUAAUCACAAGGACAAGUUCAAGUGCAAUUUGAAGCCCUUCAAUUGACAAAGUUAUAGUCUUCUGAAAUAUAACUGGGGAUCCAUAGCUAAUUCUAUCAUAGAGAAAUCUAAGAGCCUAUAUCAAUGAUAUAUCAUAUAAGGACUUCCUUUAAUUCCAAAUCAUCUGCUAUUUGGCUUUUCCCAGAAAAGAAAAAAGGUAUUAAGGAAAAAAAAGGCAAGCUGCAUAACAGACAGUUGAGCUAACUGGACCACUUAAGAACUCAAUAUGAUAAGCAAUGCCUGCAAGUGAUAAUAAUGAAAAGGUGCAGCCAAUGACCUACAGCAUCAUAGUAUUUUUGGACAGCAUUGACAACAGGCAGGACACAAUAAGGAACCCACCCAGAUACCUGUUACCUAAACACCAGCACCAGUGCUUGCAAUAAGUCUAUAUGGAAGCUAUCUACUUCUAAUGAACCCUUGAAACCCCAUCAGCCAUCAACAACUCAUGAAAGGACAUGGUAGUCUUGCUUAGUUGGUACUUGGUAGACAAUGGAUACCUGUUACCUAAACACCAGCACCAGUGCUUGCAACAAGUCUAUAUGGAAGCUGUCUACUUCUAAUGGACCCUUGAAACCCCAUCAGCCAUCAACAACUCAUAAAAGAACUUGGUAGUCUUGCUUAGUUCGUAGUUGGAAGACACUUGUUGCCUCUAGCACCAUUAAAUCACCAGGUCUAAAAUUCUAGUUGUACUUUUGUAGAGGUUUGAAUUGUUCAAUUUAAAUAUGGUCCAACAGCUUCUUAAUUUCUUUUACUCAUUUAAAUAAAAAGACUUAGCUGUUAAGAUGUAUCUAAAUAGCAAUUCCAAUGGGAAAGAUUGAUUCAACUCCCAAUCAUCUCUAUUCAAAUCUGAGUUGCUAGUAAAACCACUGAAUCUAAAGAUUUUGUUCAUGAUAGAAUCAUAAAGAUGUAUCAUGAAUUUGCCUUUUUCACACAAUGAUGGGAUCACAAUUAAAUAAAUGGCAACUACUUAACUACAAAGCCGUAUGGUCCCAGUGACAGUAUCCAUCUAUUCCCAUUAGUACAACCUUGGCAGUAUCAAUCUACAUGGUCUAGAUUUAGGGCAGUAAAAUAGAAACCAGCAGAUCAAUACACAAGGGCAAUUCUUUGGACACAAUAACAGUCAUACUGCAAUCGAUGUAGUAAGGACAUUAUUAUUAAUAACUAAAUCUGUUCAAAAAGAUCAUGUAAGGUAUACUCAUUAUAGAUAGUAGUCAAAAAGGACUGAAAAUAUCUAUAAUGUUUAACCAUUUAAACAGUUUGGUUUUGCAAGCUAAAAUGAUCAGUAGAGGGCCAGUUAAGUUUGUACCUUGGUUGGAUCAAAACCAAAACCACCCAUUUGCAUCAUCCGCUGGGUAUCAUCCAUAGCUGCAUUACAAAUAUCGUAUUUGAGCAUCUAGAGAAUAUAUCCAGAAAUCCUAAAGUAUGCUAAAGUCCAAUUUAUGCUUCUAGACUCUGGCACCAAUGAUUUUGCAAGAGAAGCAGCAAUUCAGAUCUCAGACAAAAUAGAUAUAACUACGAAGAUUUAUGAACUAAUACUAACCAUUUUCUUCACCCAGAAUGAGACUAAAUAAACCCCUUAAUCCAAACAAAUUAAGGAAAUACCUGCAACAGAAAGGGAUUGUGGACAAAUAGAGAUAUUAAACCAAGCACAAGUCCAGAAUUCUCUAGAAAAAGCUUCUCAGCAAUUUUUCAGAAUAUAAUUUCUCAUAUAGACAAAUACCAUGAUCGACUGCUAACAUAGCUAACAUCCACAGUGCUCAAAUCAAUCCCAUUUUGCAGCAUUGAUCUGAAUCUCUGAGUCAGUGGAAAUGGUAUCUUGGCUGCAUGGAAUAAGAGAUCAUAACAAAGUUGUAAAGAUCAAAUCCAGAAGGAAUUUAAGAUCGACAAAGGUCAUAUACUCAUAAAUUACUUAUAAAAUAUAGAGAUAAACCAUAUUUUGGCAUGAAGGACAUGAAACGUAGUUUAAGAAUCAAAAAGCUAAAAAAAAAAAACAAAAAAAAAAGACUGACCUGCAACAAAUCCAGAGAAGAAAAAGUUGACCCAUGCAAAGGUAAGAGUCUGGAAGAAGAAAAAAUCACAACUCAAUAUGCUAAAUUAUCUUGUUUGAAAAGACACAUUAGAGAAGGCCAAAAAGCUCUUGAACUGUUAAUACCUGGGGUAUAAUCAUAGAAAGGUUUUUCUUCAUCAUAUCCAUGGCCAUAUUUGGGUCAGAGAACAUUUGUGCUUGUGGAUUCUGACCCUGGCCCUUGGGAACAUGCAACAAUCCAUUUUCCUAAUCAAGAGUAAUUAACUUUUACGUUAGCAUCUUACCUACUGGAAAUGGAAAAUUUCAAGCUAGCAUCAGAAUUAUGACCCUAAAUGUAGCUCUCACAUACCAAAUCUGAGGUGCACAAGCAAAGCAAUGCAACAUAUCAUAUAUCUAAACCCCUCCAAUACAUUUAAAAAAAAUACAAUACGAAUCAUGUCAGACCUGCUUGGAAAUUGAAAGAAAAUGUACUUUAAAAAAAACAACCAAAUCUCAAAUCUCUUUCACAAAAUUAACCACAAAACAUAACCAAUUUAGAUACUUCUACAAACAAUUAACAAAUCCAACAUUCAAUCACCCUAAACCAAACAAACCAAAAACAAUAAAAAUAAAUCAAAACCUCAUUGCUAAAAUAAGCCCUUCGAGCUCGAAACGACUUAGCAGGUAUAAAGUUAGCUCCAGCUCGCAAAUUCCUUGCUCUCACAACAACUUGCCUGCAAUAAAAUCACAACAACAAACAAACUUUAAUACAAAUAAAACAAAUUCUGACAUACGUUUUCAAUAACGUAAAAAAAAUAAAUCACUAAAACUACCAGCAAAAACAUGAAAAAUCACAAAAGAACCAGAAUUUAGCACUAAAGAGAGAGUUUAUGACAUGGGUAUUCAAUAACUAGCCAAAGUUCACCAAAACCAGCACAAAAAUAAUCUAAAUCACAAAAAGAAACAAGCUUUAACGCUAAACAGAGAUUAUGUGACAUGGGUUUUUGAUAACUAACCCUUCUUUAACAAUUUUAGCAUCCGGAGUUUGCUGAGAUUGCAUAAGCUUUGAAACAAAGUAACGAAGGAUCCCAAUAAGAAUCAUCACUACUGUUAAUGGGAUCAGCACCCAAUCUCUUAUAGCUGUGUCUAGCACUAGAUCUUCUGCCAUUGAUUUCUUGAUUGGACGGAACCCACCAAAAUCAGACACAAAGUCCUGAUCUUUCGAGAGACUAAUGUACAGUCUUUUGCUCUUUAGUUCUGGUCUCUGGUUUGUUUGUGAUUGAAGGAGAAGGGAUGUGAGUGUCUUUGUUGGAAUAGAUUAGGGGUGUUGUUGUCUUUUAGAGUAGCUGAGAUUCACAACGCAGGGUUUCAAUCUGGUUUUUUUUUUUAUUAUUAUUUAAAAUCUAUUUUAAAAAAAGUUUGAAAUAUUUUAAAUUAAAAUUAUUUUGAUAUGCUGGUAUAAAAAAUAAAUUUUAAAUUUUAAAAAAAAUUAUUUGGUAUUAUAACAGCACUUAUUUUUCAAAGUAUUUUUUAUUUAGAAAUAAAUCAAAAUAAUAUUUAUUUUAUUUUUUAAAAUUUAUUUUUGACAUCAACAUAUCAAAACAAUCUAAAAAUAUUAAAAAUAAAACAAAUAAAACUUAAUUCAUUUGAUUGGACUCAUUAAUUCAAAAUUUGAUCGAAUAGAAUUUUAUUUUAAAUUGUUUUUUAUUUUGACCUGAUGAAAUUUAAGUAUUUUAAUUAACUGACCUAUAAUUUAAGUAACCUGGCUUAAUCUAUAAAAUACCUGUUUAAGUUAAUUUUAAUUAUUUUUUUAAUUUUAUUGAAGAUAAUAUUAUUUUAAUUUUUAAUUUUAAUAUUCAUUCUAAUUGACUCUUUGAUCUGUAAAAUAACAUGAUAAACUAAUGACUCAAGCCCUAAAAUAGGCAACUGUGGUUUGGACUCGUGCAAGAAGUGUUUGUUUAUAAUAUUAAUGUUAUGAAGUUUUCUUUCAAAGCAAGCAUGUAAAAACUUAUAAUUCUUGUAUUGAUCUAUUCAAUAUAUCAUUAAUUAGAUAUGAGAGUUUACUUAAUUAGUUAAAAAUGAAUGUUUGACAUGAUUUUCAUGCUCUUUAUUGAUCUUUCAUGAAAUCAAGUAAAAUAUAGCUAGGGAAGUUUUUGGUAUUUUAGUAUAAAUAUUUUUUAAAAGUUUUUUUUUUAAAAAAAAUAUAUCAAAUAAUUAUUUUAGAUUUUUUUAAAAUUUUAACAUCAAUACAUUAAAAUUAUAUAUAAAAAAAAUUAAAUCAAUUUGAUGUUUUUUCACAUCAAAUUCACUUUUAAAAAACACCUCAAAGGAUCAAAUUUGAUAAUUUUUCACAUCAAAUUUAUUUUAAAAAAGCACCCAAAAUCAAAAAAUACCACUCACUAAACCUGCUUGAUACAUGACUUGUUACUUAUUAUCGGAUAAUAAUAAUUAAGUCAAAGGGUGAUCCUUUUUGUAAAUCAAUAUUUUAAGGACUGAGGUUCGAAGAAGGGCGUAAAUUUUUCUCUGACAAGUCUCUUGAAGUUUCCAGUUGCCACACUACAAAACUAGUCCCUCCCUGAGCACAAAACUUGAACUUGCUGAGUUUAACAACAGUAAUUGGAGUUCGUUCAAAACCGAGGAAAAUCCUGUCAUGGUUGAAGUGUCCGUAGAGUUCAAAACAUAAGCACCUGGAUGGCGAAAGGAAAAGCAAAAAGGGACUAGCCUGUUAAGUGGCAUAACAUGAUCAGAGCCAGUACAUAUAUAUCCUCUGGUAGACUCGUAAUGGUUUCAAUUGAUUUGAUUCGAUUCGGCUGGUGCUGUGUAUUGUUUGAGUGUGUAUCAAGGCUUUUCUGAUUCGGCUAACAAAGCAAAAGUGUUUCGGCGUAGUUUGCUUUCACUUCUGCAAGCUCGAUGUGUGUUCUGUAAAAGAAGUAUUGAAACUUCUAGCCAUCUUAAAGUGUUUUUGCUUGGAAGUUAUGGAUGGAAUUCCUAGCUUGGUGGGGUAUUAGUGGCUGCUUCCCAAAAACUGCUGAUGAUAUGUGUUAGUAAUGAUCUACAAUGGUGCCAGGAAAAUUCAGAAACAUUCAUGGCAACCUCUCUUUACUUGUAUUGUUUGGAGUCUGUGGCUUCAUCGGAAUGAUGUAAUCUUUAAUGAUGCUACUCCAGAUCUUAUGGUUGAAGAUUGAUAGAAACACUUUUGCUUACACCGGAAUAUUGGAUCUAGGAUCAAAUUCUGGAAUAACAGAAUAACUCAUAGCUGACUUUUACCAUCUUUUCUUUUGCCUUACUUUUAUGGCUUCUUUUUUUUUUUUUUUUUUGUCUUGUUUCUGUUGUUUCCUUUUUUUUCUACUUCUUUGACUGUCUUCUUAUUAGCUAAAGGUAAUAAAAUCUAGAAGCCUGCCUUCUCAAUGGGGUGAGUUUAAUUUUCUCUAAUUACAUUCAAGUUCGAAUCUGCUGGGAAUCAAGCUUUCCUUGAUAAGCAUCAUGUUAAAGUAGUUGUAGUAGAAUCAGCUUAAAAUCCCAAAUCAAUUACAAGUAUAAAAAUAUAUAAAAAAUAAAUGUAAUCAAUCACAAGAUUAUGUACAAAAUUUACGUAAUUUAAUAACUUAUGUCUUAUUUUCAUAGACAAGACAAUCAAAAAACAAAAUUUAUAUGAGAAAGUAAAAAUUACAAGGUAAAUCCAUCCAAAAUCCCAAAUUAAAUAACCCAACGUUGACGGCUAUUUUUUUUUUUUUUUGAUUCGAGGAAACUCCACUCUCUGAAAAGCGUACUUUGUGAGUUCAUGUGAAUGAGUAAAAUUCCGGCUGUUCCAGGCUCUUACAAGAGAUGUACACCCUGACUCGAACUCGAGACCUAUUGUGUAGAUCUCAAACCCUUUAUCAUCAGACUACGCCUCCUAGAAACAUUGACUACUAAUUGCUAACGCUAAUCCGACUACUUAAUUACGUAUGGUUUUCUGCAAGGUAUCAUUCUGUAGGUAUCAUUCUUGGGAUCAUGCAGAAUGCUUGCCUUUUCACCUGCCUCUAUCAGAAUUUCAGCAUUUUUCAAAGUAAGCAGGGGCUUCAAAAAUAUGUAGUUAUAGCCCUCAACUCUCUGAGGCAGCUUAAUCACAAACCGCAGUUCCCAUGAAUCCUUCAUGGACCAAAUGUAAGCCUCGUCAACUUUUGAAAGAUAGAAGGCUGAUAUCAAUUCAUCAAGCAUAUAUACUUGUCUCCAUGUGAAUUCCCUCAUUGUAAUUCAAAAUAGACUCUGGUUAUCUCCUUGAACUCUUCUCUGCUCAUGUCAUAUGAAACUAUCAAAUACCACCCCGUCCUUCCGAUCAUGCUAGUUGCUUUCUGGAUAAGAAAAUCAUUGCCAAGCCAAAUAGCAGCUUUGUAAUUCAGAUGGAAUAAUGGAAUAUACCUCCAAUGUCCUUCCACCCAUCAGCUUUCAAAGAGUAGACUCUAGGGCCUCAAUUCAUAUGAGUCGAUGUCAAUGAAUGGCUUAUCAUUAUAUGAACACAUCUUAUGACCUUGUAAUCAUCUUCUUCUUGAAGAUAACCAAACCCCAACAAAGGGAAAGAGUUCUCAACUGUGGCGAUAUUGAAACCCGAGAAUGGAAGGAGUAAUUUGAAAACCCCAAUAGAGGGAUUCAAGAGAAAGAUAUCUCGAUAGCACUUUUGGUCCGAAAUGCAAAUUAAGUAUGCCCUUGCAUGAACCAGAAAUUUCUACGUUUUCUAUGCUUAAUGAAAAAGGCAAUGACAGCCUUCUUGCCUUGCUCCAUUCUUCAUCUUCAACACAAUAAAGCUUGGAGUCAAGCUUCAGGACAAGAUUUGGGUUCUUCAAAUUUGCUAUUUGGAUGCUACUUAACAAAUUCUAGACUGCCAAGGAAUAUUGCCAACAUUGACUUGACAGGCAGUCUAGCAAAAAUGUCAGUGAUGAUUUAUCACUAGGAAUGUUAGAUGACAUUUCAGUGAAUGUAUAGUUGCUGGUGGAUGCUGCUGAGCUUGGUGAACUCAUUUUUGGCUAUAGGCAUAUAUGUUGUCAGAUUAGCUGUAUCCAAGGAUGGGAGAAGAUGGGAAUAUAUAUGGACAAAGCAGGAGGGCUCAUUGGCCAUACUUUCAUUAAUGAAAGAUAUCUGAGUAGAUUCCGAUCUACUAUUUUCUUGAGAAAAUAAGGAACCUCCUUAGAUUACUGCUUGAAGCAAUUGAAAGUAUUGUUUCAAAUUCUUUUCUUGCAAUGAAACCCCAAAAAAACAAAGAAUCUUUUCUUGCAUGUUACUUAACCUUUCUUUGUUCCAAAGGUUCCUCAAAAUAAUUCUAUAUCCUCAAAACUUAUGUUUAUGAUGCAUCCCACAUGCUUAUGAUCUUCAUUCCUUCAACAUUCCAAUGGCCAUUGUCUCUCACCCCACCUUGUUAAACGGAACUAGACUAUUCGUCUCAAAUUCACCUCCAAAACUCACCCCACAAGCAAGGAAUUCCUACAGUCCCACUACUAGUCAUAAAAAUAUACGUACAAGAAUUUGUGCUUGUGUUGCGAAAUGCCAUCCACAAUUCUUGCACCAACCUUUGAUUGAAACUAGCUUCUCUUCAAGGCAUAGAGACUUAUUGCCACUAGUGCCAUCCAAUGCUAAGACAUCAUCAGGAUCAGGAGAGGAAGAUAACCCAGCUGUAGAAACAGUUCUCAAGCUUUACACAUCAAUCAAGAACAAAAAUAUCAGGGAAUUGUCUGAUAUAAUUGGUGAUGAAUGCCGAUGUGUUUGCAAUUUCUUCUCCUUCUUCCAACCCUUCCAAGGGAAACAGGCAUGCCCAUUAAAUUUCCAACUUGCUAAAUUCUUUUACCUAGAGUUGUAGCAUCACACAAAUGAUAUACAUGUGAUUCCUUUUGUUUUCCUUUUGCAGCAAGUGUUGAAUUUUUUCAAAAUUCUGAUCAAAUUCUUGGGAAACAAUUUUGAAUUUGUCGUGCAACCUACCUUCCAUGAUGGACUGAAUGUUGGCGUAGCUUGGAGACUAAGUAUAUGCCACUGCCUUCUAUCUCCCUUUGUUGGUUUUUUGGGAAAACUUCAUUAACAUCCCUAAUAUUUUACCUCUUUCUCAAUAUUGUCAUCCUAAACCGAUUAAUUUUAUGAAUUCCUCAUUCAAAACCUAUUAGAAAUUAAGCAAUGCUUCCUUUCCAUAGACAAAACACGUUCAGAAAACACCUGGGUAUUCUAGCAUGGGAGGGAAACAUUGUUUAAUUCAAAUAAGUUUGGGAUGAGAAAUCGAUAAAAUUAAUCAGUUUGGGAUGAAAUUAAGAAUCAAAUAAUAUGUUAGGGACACAAAUGAGGUUCUUCUUCUUCUUCUUCCUCCUUUUUCCUUGAUAAUUAGGAGGGCUCCAAGUGGAGACUUGGGGAGGGGACAAGGUACACAACCAACCAUAGCAAGUUGGCUAUAUAUGUUGUCAUUGCCAUCUCUUCACAGGGAAAUUAUCACAGUUUUGAGGAGUUGCAAGGGAAGCUUUUCUUACCAUGUUUUUUUUUUAUGUUUGGUUAAUUUAUUUUGUAAUUUGUAGACUGGAGCAAGACACAUGUGCCUUUCGGAAAGGGUUUCAGCUUCUACAUUCUCCAAGUAUACCAAGGGAGGAUCGUCAUAAGGUGUGUGAUCAAAACAUCUCCACAAGAUUAUCCAUUAACCUCAAAUUUCAAAAAAGAGAAACACUCAUUUAAUAUAAUAUAUAAAUUAAUCACUUAGUUAUUAUCUUUGAGAUAGAAAAUUGAAAGAUAAAAAGAUGGGAAAGAUACGUCUCAUUGUAUUUUUUUAUUUGAAAAUAUAGAAAUUUAUUCUAAAACUAUUAUAUAUAUAUAUAUAUAUAUAUAUAUAUAUAUAUAUAUAUAUAUAUAUAUAUAUUCAUUUUAUUUCUUCGUUUUUAAGUCUUCAAUCAUACACUUUUCCGUCUUUAUUAACUUUAUAUUUUGUAUUUGUACAUAAUUAUAUAUGACAAAUUAAUUAUUAUAUAGAUUGAGCCAAUAGUAUAAAAAAAAUCUGACCACUAGCUUUAGCAAUAAUGGUUGGAUUUACUGUAUAUUACAUGAGCUAAAUAAUAUUGAUGAUGCAUGAGCUUUCCAUUUGUCCAUCUCAUGAAUGACAGUACUAUAUAUUACAGGAAUGUGGAGAUGUUCAUGGAACCACUUCUUCAUAUUGAGCCUUUUAGACUGGUAAUUUGCAAUCCCGAUUUUCUUAUUCACUGAAUCCGGUGCAAAUCAGAAGUAAGGGGAGGAUACUGAUGACUCCUUCUGGCAUAUGAUAGACACCCUUUUUCCUUCUUCUGCAGAAAAUGAUGGGAUUCGCCAUGAGCAUUGUGGAAAAGAUGAGCUCCUGUAAAUUGUCCAGAGACAAGGUGAAGAAAGCUGUGCUUGUUAUGGUUUUGCUUGCUGUCAUCUUGAUCUUCUUAAUGCCAGGGAUGUAUUAGGCAGCAUAAACCCUGUAAGAUGAUGCAAUCACAGCAUCUCCUGUUUCAGUUAGUACUGUACCAUGUGGUAGUGUGCCCAGAGAUGCUCAGAAUUUCUGUAUGAGAUUUGAUUAGAUUAAUUCUAAAAUAAUUAAAAAAUUAAAUUACAGCAUAUUAGAUUAAAAAACACAAAGGCCUAGAGACAUGUGAAACCACCUCGUAAACCAGGUCCUAAACCGAAUAGAUCCAUGGCACAAAAGCCAUAUUUUAUACAUUAAUUUAAUGAAAAAGGGAAUGUCCAUGGUAUAAUAAACAAAAACAAAAAAACAUUUUGAUGAACAAGUGAUGUGCUUCCCAAUAAGUGGGGUGGAAUUCCAAGUAGAAACAAAAGCGGAAGUAAGGCCACUUCCAUUUAAAAAAAAAAGAGUAAAAAAUAGGUUCCAUAGAACUAUAUUAAAUACUUUAUUAAUAAAUUCGUCUUUAUUUAUUAGGAGUUUUCUAUGCAAGGUAAUAUUGUUGGUACCAUUCCAAUUCCAUUGGAUAGUGUAAUUUUCAUGUCCUUUUCUUUUAUAGAUCUUGUUUGGGCUAUAGUUGAAAUACUUUAGCAUUAAAUUUUGAUUUGUUUUUGCUAUAAAUAAUUUUUUUUAGUUUAUUAGAUUGUUUUAAUGGACUGAUGUUAAGAAUAAAUAUUAAAAUAUUAAAAAAAAUAUUAUUUUGAUGUAUUUAUAAAAAAAAUAUUUAAAAAAAAAACUUUUACCACAUUUUCAAAUAAAACCUUAGUUUAAUACCAAGUAUAAUCGAUAUGGAGUUUCAUUUUAAAAGUAUCAAUAGCAUAUUGAUAAAUCUUUCUUUUAGUGUGUUUUUAACAUUGUGAUACAUUUUAUGAUUGCGUUUUGAAAAUAUAAAUUUAAAAAAGUUAUAAAUUAUAGUUUUUUUAAUUAAUAUUUUUUUUAAAAAAUUAGGAGUAUCAUGCAAAAUUGUAGUAUCUUUUGAUUAACUAAACAUUUUUAAAUCUAUAAUUAAAUAAAAACUCAUAUUAAUCCACAUUGCAUCGCAAAAAUAAAAAGAGAUAUGGGUGUUUGAGAAUAUUUUUAUUUUUAGGUACAUCUCAAAAGUGUUUUUAACUUAAAAAAAUAUAAAAAUUAUAUUUUAAUAUAUUUUUAAUUAAAAAAUUAUUUUAAAAAGCAAUCAACAAUAUAUUACGAGACACACAUUAGUUUCAUGAGUUAAUCAUUCAAUUCAUAGAUUUUACUCUUUUCAUUUCAAUUUUAUUUCUCUCUCUAAAGGACGACCAAUUUGAUAUAUAAAUAAUUUAUUUUGAUAUGAAAUUUAUAUAUAUUUAACACCUCAUACUUAGUUCUAUAUAUUUAAGACCACAAGACUUGAUAACUAUCUUAAUAAGUAGCAUUAAACACCAAUGAUUCUCUUUUCUAAAAAAAAAAUAUGGGUCCAUGCACGCAAAAUUUUAGUGCCCAAUCAAGAUAUGAUCAAGUUUUUGGUUCAAAAAUCCAAAAUAACAUCAAGUUUUUGGUUCAAAAAUCCAAAAUAACAAUGAAAUGCUGCAUAAAUCCUUAAUUAAUCUCGUAAUCUUGAUAUCAUAAUCUAAUAUUUUAUUUUUCAUGUAAUUUAUUAUUUUUAUUUACUACCAUGAAAAAUAAAAUAAAAAUCAUUUUAAAUUAUAAAAAACAAAUGAGAAAGAUUUAAGGAAUGUUGUUUUACCGGAAUUGACUUGAAUUAAUGAGAUUGUUUUAUAGUUAUUUUAUCCGAUAAAUAUCAACUCAUUCAUAACUUGAUACACACACACACACACACUCACAUAUAUAUUACUUAAAUAAUAAAUCCUUUUGUAAAUAUUCAAAACUGAUUUUAAUAUUUAAAUUUUAUACCAGGUAAAUAAUAAAUAUAAUAUAAAUAAAAUAAAAUCUGAUCCAUGAAUUAAAUCAUCAUUAUCAACCAUAUAAAAAAUGUUGUAACUCGACUUGAUCCAACAAGUAAAAAUUUGAACGAUUUAGGAUAAUAUAUGUAAUUUCAUAUUUUUCCAGUAAUUAAUUUCUUUUGUUGCCGUGCUGUUAAUAAUGCACCCCCAUACACACGUUAUAGAUUGCAAACUCCCUACCAAACUGUAUCUCUCCCUCUCCCUCUCUCUCUGGCAUGUCCUUUUCUAAGCCCGCAUUCACAUUUGGUCUCGGUUUCUUUGAUCAAUCAAGUAAUCUCUUUCCAUCUCCUUAAAAAAAAAAUUCUCAAACUUUGAUGGGUUUUGUUCGAUUCUGAUCUCAAGGUACAGUUUUCAAGAUUUUGAUUUUCUUUUUGUACACUUUUGGUUUUCUGGCUUCUUUGAUGGAUUUCUGAAAUUGGUCUUGGAGAUUUUUGGAUUCUCCGUUGAAUUUGGUGCAAAGGGUCUAUUUUUUAGAAGAUUUUGAGCUUUUUUAGUUUAUUUAGCGUAUUUUGGAAUCUGGGUUUUUUUGUGGUUGUUUAGAGAAACUGGUAUAUUAGGAUUUUUUUUUUUUAGUUUUGCUCAUUUUAGAAAGUUUUAAGCAUGUUCUGUUUUUUUAUGAUGAUUUAGAGAAAUGGGAGGUUUUUGGGUUUUAUAGAGUGUUUUUUUUUCCUUGCAUUGUAGCUUCUUGGGUGGGAAUAAGAUGAAGAGGUUAAAGAAUGAACCUUCUAGUACUAGGAGGUGCAAGCUGUCGCAUUUGUUGUUGGUUAUAGGAGCAUUGUACUUGGUGUUUUUAGCAUUCAAGUUUCGACAUUUUUUAGAGAUUGCAGCAAUGGUGAGUGGGGGUGAUAGUUAUGUUGGAUUGGAUUCGUUUUCCAUGGUAAAAGAUGUUGAAGAUUCUGAUUUAAGCAAAUCGUUUUUUAGUUCGGUUUAUAAGGAUACGUUUCACCGGAAAUUAGAAGAUAAUCGAAACCAAAACGCACCGAUGAUGCCCAGUAAGGAACCUUUGGAAGAGGAGAAAAGAGGGGGGACAAAAACUAUAAAACCAAUUCAGUAUCCUUAUGGUCGAAUAACAGGAGAAUUUAUGAGGCGAAGGAAUGCAACUAGGAAUUUUUCACCAUUUGAGAGAAUGGCAGAUGAGGCUUGGCUGCUUGGAUUAAAGGCAUGGGAAGAAGUGGAAAAUUAUGAUGGAAAGGAGAUUGGACAGAGUUCUUUAUACGAGGGGAAGAUUGAGUCAUGUCCUCUGUGGGUAUCCAUGAGUGGCGAGGAGUUCGCUGGAGGGGAAAAGUUGAUGCUUCUUCCAUGUGGUUUAGCAGCAGGGUCAUCUAUAACCAUUGUGGGAACACCCCAUCAUGCACACCAGGAGUAUGUACCCCAGCUUACAAGGUUGAGGAAUGGUGAUGGCACUGUUAUGAUUUCACAGUUCAUGAUUGAGUUGCAGGGGUUGAAGUCAGUGGAGGGGGAGGAUCCACCGAAGAUUCUACAUUUAAAUCCUCGAUUGAGGGGAGAUUGGAGUCGGCAUCCUGUCAUUGAGCAUAAUACCUGCUAUAGGAUGCAAUGGGGGACAGCUCAAAGGUGUGAUGGUUUGCCAUCCAAGAAAGAUGAGGACAUGCUGGGUAAGAGCUACCUUGUUUUUUAAUAGUGUUGGUUAACUCAUUUUCCUUGUUUGCUUAUGUAUGCUAAGUUAAAUGCAACUUGGAAAGAUGAUUACUUAAUGUAUACUUUUAUUAAAGAAAGAUGAUGCAAUGGGGGGGUGGGGGGGCUUACAUUGAGGGGACUCAAGUCCCUAGAAUUGAUGUUUUGUUAGACAUUCUCUACACUUUUCUUCACAUAAGUUGUGUGAGGUGAAAGAGAUGUGAUUGCCUUCCUAAAUCUUUCUAGACAAUUCAGUUAGUGCUAGGGGCAUAAGUGAAAACUGCAUAUAGCCCUAGUUCAGAUUAAAAUUUGUGUUGAUGACCAUUUACAUCAGGUUGGUACUCGACCAUUGACCCCUUGAUUUUAUGCUAGGAUGCUGGUAAGAUCCUAUCUAGUUAUGCUUUAGUUUCUACUUCGAUAGUACAUGGUUUUUAGUUAAUAUAUAGUCAAAGAAAUGUCUCAACUGAGAUGCAAUAUUCAGAUCUAACUAUUAUCUUUGUUUUCUUCCCCUGUUUUCUUAUUAAGCACCAUGACAUUGUUUCUGAUAUUGAUGCCAAUUUCUGCACCACCUUUCCUUUUCAUGUAGAAAUUAGAAAAUGAUGCACUUGCCAGAAUUUAUAUUUUAGCACUUUGCAGACGGAUUCUAGCUUACCUAUGGUUAACUUGUUAACAAAUGUGAACUAGAUUUGAAAAGUAGGUUUAGAGUAUCAUUAAGCUUAGAUUAAUUUCCUCAUGGGUGUAAAUGACAUAAAGGUGGGUCAGAGUUGGUGAAGAGUUUUUGCUGGUCUGGUUUGUGUUAAACUGUAUGAUUUCUGAAGCAUUUGUCUUUAUUGUCAUACUUACCUAAUAGUCGUUGAAGUUCUUAAUUGUUCAGCUUCCUUGUUAAUAACCACAUUUAAGCCCGCACCCUGAAGUUCUUUGUGAAUUUUGAUUCUCCCUACUCUAUUUUAGAAAAUUGAAUUGUAUAAUUUUUCUAAUGCAUGUAUUCGGCAGUUGAUGAACAUUUGAGAUGUGAGAAAUGGAUGCGGGAUGAUAAUGUAGACUCAAAAGAGUCCAAGACAACAUCGUGGUUUAAGAGAUUUAUAGGGCGUGAACAGAAACCUGAAGUGACCUGGCCAUUUCCUUUUGUGGAGGGAAAAUUGUUUGUCCUGACCUUGCGUGCUGGUGUUGAUGGAUACCAUAUUAGUGUUGGGGGCCGGCAUGUGACCUCAUUUCCAUAUCGUCCGGUAAGUUGAUAUAGAUGAGAAAAAAGUGAUUAUUAUACCCUUUGACAGUUCCUUCUGUUUCUCCAACUCAAAUGGUGAACCUUGGCCUUGUGGAUUUGGAAAAUGAUAUUUGCAUAUCUGAUGCACAAUGGGUUUUCUAGCUGUUCUAUCCACCCACUUGGGAGAAAUAGCACUUUCAAAAUAUUUGUGACAUUGACAUUUUUUUUAUGAAGAUUUCCAUGAACUAACCUUAUCCCUGUUUAUCAUCUUUUUAAGCUUGCCCUUUUCUUGAUUCCCUUUGCUUUCCACUGGAUUUCUUCAUUAUAGUCCCUGUAGAUUUUGCAGUGCAUAAUCUUAAUAGUUGUGUUUGUUAGAGUAGUAGUAUGUUUUGUUCAAUUAUAUAAUAAGCUCAAAAUAUUUCCUACAACAUUUUUCCGUGGCUUUAGGGAUUUACCCUUGAAGAUGCAACGGGAUUAGCAAUCAAAGGAGACAUGGAUGUUCAUUCAAUUUUUGCCACUUCUCUACCCAGAUCACAUCCAAGCUUCUCUCCUCAAAGAGUAUUGGAAAUGUCAGAAAAGUGGAAAGCUCAUCCUUUACCAAAGAGGCCAAUUCAAGUUUUUAUUGGGAUUCUAUCAGCUACAAAUCACUUUGCAGAACGCAUGGCAGUUAGAAAAACUUGGAUGCAAUCAUCAGCAAUCAAGUCAUCAAAUGUAGUUGCUCGUUUUUUUGUUGCAUUGGUAAGAUCUCCACAUUUAUUUCUUAACCCUCAAUUUUAUUUGUUUUUUAAGUAGCAAUGUUUAAUUGUAUCAACAGUCACUCAAUUAUUCCCUGAUUUGAGAAACAUACUUCAAUUAUUGAAUCUUUUAUGUAUUCUUUCAUCUUCUUUGCAAGUUUACCAAAGUCUUUUUAUCCAACUUCUCUUUCUUUCUGCUAAAAUUAUCCUUAAAUAAUGCCAUUCUAAAAAGUGACGCUCUAGUUGUUGUAUGGCCACAUCAAAAAAAGUUAAUGGAAAUUUGGAUCAAAGGACUGCAAUAAAAAUUUCAAAGAAAGUUGAAAUUGCAUUAAAUGAUUUGAAAUUGAGGAAUUUAAGUUGAGUAAUAGUUGAUGGUCCACUGACACAAUUAACAGCCUUACCCCACCUUUUGUUGUUGAUGAUUUAAGUGCUUGAUAUAAUUUUACAAGUCCAGAGAGCUUGGAUGCAAGGAUCUAUCUUUAUCAUUGCCCUAGAUAUUUUGUGUUGAAAUAUAAACAAGAAAAUACAAUGAAGAGCAAGAAAAACAAUAUUCAUGUACAUGGGAGCAUUGUGAAUUUACAAGAGUGUGUGUGUGUCUUUCAUUGUCAAAUUAUUUAAUCUACUUAAUGUAAUAUUGUGCAUUCUGUAAGAUGGACCAUUGUUUUGGAACAGAGGAAGCAGAACUAUGGUUAUUUACUAUUCUUUUUUUCUUUUUUUCCAUCCAUCUGUUAUGUAGAAUUCAUACUCUAAUUUAUCUUUGUACCUGUUCAUGAAAACCACAGAAUCCAAGGAAGGAGGUGAAUGCAGUACUAAAAAAAGAGGCAGCAUACUUUGGUGAUAUUGUGAUUUUGCCGUUUAUGGAUCGAUAUGAGCUUGUGGUUCUUAAAACUAUUGCUAUUUGUGAGUUUGGGGUAAGUCUAUGAUUCAUUCAGUUGGCAUUUUUCAUUGAAUCUUUUAAAUAGGAUCUUUGAGAACUAGUAAUUGUGUAUUUAUUUAUAUCUCCUGAAUAUAUUUUUUUAACACAUCUGAAUAUAUUUCAUGCAGGUUCAGAAUGUUUCUGCUGCGUACAUUAUGAAAUGUGAUGAUGAUACAUUUGUUAGGGUUGACACUGUCUUGAAAGAAAUUGACCGUACCUCUCGCUCCAAGUCACUUUAUAUGGGCAAUCUCAAUCUAUUACAUCGUCCUCUAAGAAAUGGCAAAUGGGCAGUUACUUUUGAGGUAUGUCAUGUGAUUUCUGAUUUCUUAAAAUCCCUGGCAGCAGUGUCUUUGCUUAUAUUAAUUCAAUUGUCUUGUUCUUUUUUCCCUUAAAAAACAAACUAAAACGUUAUAAUAUCUGGAGAAGGGGGGACAAAGGCAAAUUAUUAGAAUCUCUACAAAAUAUACAUCUUAACAAUCUCUUCUACGAGAUCAUAUAACCUGAACAUUCAGAAAAUGAAAGAAUUUUUAAUUGCUUAUCUGGUACACCAUCCUCUGUUUUACUAGAAACAACCUUGGUGAUACUGAUCAUGGCACUUAUGAAUUACUUGACUGAGUUACCAUAUGAAUUAACCAGCUUCUUUCUCAUUGAAGGAGCAUUAUUGGAAAUACUAUCUACAUUCUUGCAUUAUUUGCAAGAGUUGCCUACCUUUGUCUUCCUUUUUACCCUUCUCCUUUACAAUUUUUUACCGCAUUUGAUAUUCAUGGAAUGGAAUGGGUAUAGGUUCAGAAACUUGUUCUAGGCAUAGAAUGGCAGAAGACAGCUUUGAGAAGGCUGUGUGCGCUUCUUGGUUAGAGUUGAUAAGGGUUUUUUUUUUGGUAGUUAAAGAAUUCAAACAUCGUCCCUAAUCUGCUACCAGAGUCAUCCUUAAACUUGGUUCUUUUUUAUGAUUUUGGUACGUCAGGUCUUAGGGACCACGCUCUAGUUAAGCUCCUUUCAUGAAUCAGAUGGUCCUGAACAUACGAUACAUAUUGUUGCUUUUACUGUGAGUGUAAAAUGGAAAAGAAACUAGUAUUCUAGAUGUGGUUCGCAAUGUUCCUGCUCUUAAUGAAUUCAAAAUUUGAUUUCUCUGUGUUUCUGGAUGAGUAUGACAUGAAUGAUAUAAUUGUUUUUCUAUGUUCACUUCUUUCAUUUGAAGGUUAUUGCCUAUUGUAACAGGAAUGGCCUGAAGCAGUAUACCCUCCUUACGCUAAUGGACCUGGAUAUGUAAUUUCUACUGAUAUUGCUAAAUUUGUCAUCGCUCAACAUGGCAAACAAAGCCUCAGGGUUAGUGAUACUACAAUCUUAUUUAAUACUUUUUUUUCUGUUGGAGGAUGCUCUCCCUUCCUCUCCUUUUCUUUUAGCAAUUCUUUGACAGCUAUCUUUCCAAUCAGUCUGUGUUGUAAAAUAUGUUAAUUUCAUUGCAGCUCUUCAAGAUGGAAGAUGUUAGUAUGGGAAUGUGGGUUGAACAAUUCAACAGCUCCACCCCUGUCCAGUACUCCCACAACUGGAAAUUCUGUCAAUAUGGAUGCAUGGAGAACUAUUAUACUGCACAUUACCAAUCCCCAAGGCAGAUGAUCUGUCUAUGGGACAAGUUGGCGAGAGGUCGGGCUCAAUGUUGCAACUUCAGAUGACAUAUUUUAUCAGAUGUCUCCGAGGAGCCUUUAGAUGAUGGCGGCAGCUUUAUUACACUGGUUGACACGUGUUCAUAUUCUUGUCCUUAUUUUAUGCUUGGACCCUCUGGUCAGGUCACCUUUGCCGAUUUUGUUCAUUUAAGUGGGCUCUAGAGAUGGCUGUUUUUUAAUUGCAGCCUUUGAUUUUUGAAGAACAGACUUUUCAUCUUGUAAUUGAAAUGGCUUCUAGCCAAGGCCAAAACAUCUCGGCUUGAACUAAAAGCUGGAGAAAUUGUAUAUACCCUACUUUCUAUUACAAGUAUCGAUUCUGUUAGUGCAGAAGUGAGAAAAUCCUUUCGACUCAUUACAUGCUUCUGUUGCAAAUAUAGGUUGGAAAAUUUGAAGGACUAACUUGUUCGAAGUCGUGCACAUAUUGCUAGUCAUUCUUCAGCGUAAUAAUUCCUUUAAGGUUUUGUUUAUAAAGGUUUGGCUUGCUCUAUAUGCGCUUGUGUGGUGUGUUGUGGGUGGAGAAGCUGACAGAUUUUUGGGUAUCACUUCCUAUCUGGUGUGUACAAAAACCUGUCAGCUUCUCCACCCUCAACACACACAAGCGCAUAUAGAGCAAGCUAAACCUUUAUAAAACAUAACCUUAAAGGAAUUAUUACAGAGGAAUGAAUAGAAACUUCAUCAUUUAAUAUUUAACACUUCCUUCUUGAUUUUGAAUUUGCUUUAUAAAUUAUUUUAGUUUUUUUUUUCUACAAGGUUAGAUUACUAUACUUUUAAAUAAAUAUCUUUUUAUUUGAUUUGUGCCUAGUCAAGUUUAUACUUAAUUUUACGAAUGUUUAUUUUUAUUAUCAUUUAAUUAAAUGAAAAAUAAUAUUUUUUAAAAAAAUUCUUAAGCUCAGUAAAGUUCAUUAUUCGGAUAAUGGAUUUUAUUAGUUAAGUCAUGAAACCCGGAUUGAUCUAAUAUAUUAUAAUUUUAAUAUUAAAAAAAGAUCAGAAUAAUUUUUUUUUCAAGUCCAACCAUGCAUUUUAUUAGUUAUCCGGGUUAUUUUUGAAAUCUUCAAGUAGACUUGGUUAUAUCGGGAUAACUUUUAUUCGAAUUGAAAGAUUUCAAAGUUGGUCCGUUGAAUUAAAUUUAAUAAUAAUACCGAAAUAGGUUUUUAUGGCAUAAAUGUUUUCUUUUACAAUCAAAAUAUUUUUUAUUCAAGUGGCGCCGUGUACACUACUAAAAAGUAAAAGAGUUGCGGAUAAUGUGAUUAAAGGAAAGGAGAAAGAGUGCUUGGAAGCAAUUUCAUGUUUGAAUUCCCUUGUUCAACCUGAUGAUAAUGACAGAAUUGUUAUCAGUCAGCAACCACCGAAAGAGCAAAAGAAGGCUAUGAAAAGGAAGAGGUAUUGCUUGACCUUGCUUUACUUGGACUCUUGGAAUUGAUGAUUGAAUUGCGAAAUGCUUGCUCUUUUUAGUGGAUGCACUGUUUAUGAUAAGAAUUUGAAACUUUAGAAAGUGUUUUGUUGCCAUAGAUAGUGAAGACAAAAGAAAUGUAUUAAAAAGUAGAAAUUCAAUUUAAAAUUAUCUCAUAAACAACUUUUUUUCAUUUGUUUCUAUCUCUUCAACUGAACACCUAGAAAAACAGGUGUUGUGAUUCUUAUAGCAAGUUAUUGUAUCAAGGAUAAUCCACUCAAAAGCAUUUCCAUGGGAGUUUUGAGACUAUAACGUGCUGCAGCACGGUUGUCUAGCACUUACAUACAUCCUUUUACUUCUCGUCAAGACUGACUACUCUAAUUACAUACAUAGGAAGAGACAUGUGGAAGGUCAGAUCUCAAACACCAUCAUUUUUGUUUCUCUGCAACUUUCCUCGAGGUUCUGCUAUCAAUGGUUUAACGCAGUAUGUAGCUAGCUGGGAGCUUGCUCUGAAUCUGGUGUGCUCUGUAAUGGCUAAGGUCUAUUUACAAACGACUCUUCAAGCCCUGUUGCUCAGCCUGGUUCUUGAACUUUUAUACCGUGUAGUGGCUCUACUUGGUGGGUGUCAAUACCACCACCUGGGCACUUUUGAAUCCAAACUAGAUGACAAUCUCUUAUCAUGGUCUUACAGUAUUGAAAACCUGAGAAGCCGGCACGAAAGACAAAAUGUCUGAAUCACCGCACUCUGAUUUCCUCGGACUUGAAGUGAAACCACUCUUGACAGCUUUCCUAUCUUUGCGUCAGGUAUUUGUUUCCUGUUCUAGAUAAUAGUUAUCAGAACUCAUCCAUAACUUAUCAAGAAAAGGGUUCAGGUCACGGGUCAAUUCUAAAGCCACUGGCUUGUAUGUUUUUAUUAAAAUAAUAUUGUUUUGUUAUUUUUUAUAUAUAAACCCGAUUUUUUUAUCUGGUUCAACUAAAAACCUGAUUUAAGUAAAAAGGAUUCGAGUCCUCAAUUUCCAACAUUAAUCCACCAAGCCAGGUUUAAUGAUCCGGCAUAUCUUUCACGUGCAUUCAGUUCUUAGUUCAACUCCUGAAUUUCACCAAAUUAGGCUGCUCAUUAUUAUACAAUGUCGGAUGUUUGACCGAUGCCGCUCCUAUGAUACAAGUUAUGAUGAUCAAAAUCAAAAUUCUCUGCUUUGGACCUUCCUCUAGUUCCAGUUUUAAGUGAAAUUUCAACGAGAGAAAAGUCUGUCCUCCAGCUGCGUUCACCUUAACAGUUACCUCUUCUUCGCUGUUUUACUUAAAACGGGAUCGUUACGGAGGAAACAUCCUAAGCUGAAUAGAUUUUCUGGUGAAUGAGAACAAAUAAAUAGCGACAUGAUUUCGAUCUGUCAGAAGCUGUAGAACACACGCCUCCAUGUAAGUAAUUCCAAGCAGACCACAAAGAAAAGAAGGAACAAAGCCAGUUGCAGUAGGAAAACAACAGCCUAUAUGACAGGAUACAUAUUGGUCUUUUUCAAGUUAACAAGACUUUACAAUUUGACUGUGGUUGCCUUCAUUCUACUAUGAGGGGGUUAGGCAUUGGGAGGUCAAACUGACAACAAAAUUAGCAAGAAAGCCUACUACAUCCACGCUAUGGCAGCAUAACUACAAAGAAACACCUGCCAUUGACCGUUGUUACAUUUUCAUUCUGAUCAUAGUAGAGUAAAUCACCAUGUCAUCUAAUCACAGUAAUUCACAAAGGACAUGAAAAAAAAUAAACGAACGAUAAACUAAAUAAGGUUCUUCACUAUCUGUUCUACUAUCAGAAGUGAGCAGGUGGUCAUUGUUCCAUGCACCUACAAGUAACAAGAAAGGGAAAAAAAAACAUAAGGUUACUUGUUUGGUAUACAUCAAAUUGCACGCAAAUUAAUCAGCAUAUUAAGAGCAGAAAAGAUAGCAGGUACACAUAAAGUCUUAAACCCAAUGGAUGACAGAGUCCAUAAACGUACAUAAUUCAAAAGGAGGCGUCAACACAUAAAGGGAAGCAAAAGGGAUUCAGGAACAACAGAAAUUCUAAAGCUAAACUACUCGGAUGAUGAUUUACAACUAAGCAGCAGGCUGAUCAAAUCACACCUGGAGGGAAAUCAUUAACAGGAAGAAAGUUACACUACAAGAAACCUGUACUUUGACUACCAAGGGGCUAUGGUUUGGUCCUGAACCUGACAUGAUAUUUAAGUUGUCAAAUCAAAGGACAGAAUAGAAAACAGAACAUGUGGAAAAAUGAACUUUUUGAGAAUUUACAAGCUUUAAAAAGGCUUGUUAUCAUGAGACGGAUAGUUUGAUGCAGAAAACCAGCCCAGCUCUCAAGACCAAAAAAUGCAUUAAAAUAACUCCGUAUUAUAUACCCAAUCAAAAAUAAAAAGAGAAGGGACUCACAUCCACCAUUGAGAAAUUCAACAUGUAUACAAGAAGUUUUAUAAUCAGUUUUUUUUUCCCACCAACUAAAUCACAAGCACAGGAGCCACACGCAAUAUGGGAGCUUGUUGAACAUACUAACCAGUCAUCACCACAGAACAUCAUGACCGUUUGAAUAAAUGAUGACGUGCUAACACCUCUCCUACCCCCACAGCAGAUAUGCUUUCACAUCCAAGAAGAUCACGAAGCUUUGUAUCACAUUGUAUCACCAUUGAAUUUAACGGAUCCUAAAAACACAUGAAAACCAUUGAACUUUUACAUUAAAGUUAACUUAUCUAUAAAAGAACUGUGUUUAGACAUCGAUGCACUACAAAUACGGUUUAUUGGACGAAAAAGGCAGUGUAUAAUAACAAAGAGAUUUGUACAAAACAAGAGGUAUAUGCAGGAAAAUUAGUUGAGGUAAAGGGAUGUAGUAGACUUUAAGUGCUCCCAAUAUGGAAAGUCAUGUGUAGGGAAAGGGAUGAAUAUAUACACUCAUUACCCACCUCCAACUGUUUUAGCUUUAUGUACUCCCAAACACGUCUGGAUGCUUCUGUUUGGGUCAUUUCCCUCUCAGUAGUCCCCAAAAACUCAGCAAGUCCUUCAGAUAUUACCACAAGAGAUGCAGCAGGUUCUUUAUUUUCAGUUGUGGUCUCAACAUCCACCUUCGCUCGCUUGGCUUGACCAGAUUCCUCUGUGCAAAUAUUCACAAGAACAAAAAAAUAAAUUUAACAUUCUCAAAGUCACCACAGAGCAACAAAAAUAUGCUUCACUGUAAUGAUCACAGUACAUACUUGAUGGUUGAAGUGGGAUGAUAUGUUUAGCUAGCAGCUUAUUCAUCUUAAACAUAUCAGUGCAGUCAGUCUCAAAAACCACGCGCAAAGCAUCAUCACAAAUUAUCUUCCUCUUGUUACUUGGAUCCUGGAGGUUGUUUUUCCUUAUGUAUUGCCACAAUUGCUUCACAAUCUGAACACACACACAAUGCACAAUUCUUAGAAACAAUAAUCACUCCAUAAACAGCACAGCUGCUCAACCAAACUAAGAAACGAGCCUGGUCAACAGCAUACCUCAGUCCUUGGCAAGGCUGGCUCCCCAACAACGACCUGAAGUUCAGGUGAAACACCACACACUUUGUUUAACCCACCAGGUCCACCUCUUCUUUUGGAUCCAACUGGAGUACUGCUGCAAAGUAGUAAAAACCCAAACACCAUUCAAUCUCCAUAAACGGCCACAACAGAUUCAAGCUCCAAUCAAACAAAAUCACCAACGGCCCAAGAUCAUCAACUAAAAAAACCCAAAAUAAAAACUUUCACACUAACCAUAAGCUAACAGAUGCCCAAAUUUUGGAUUUUUCAAUUUAGCAAAAAAAUAGCAUUAAACCUUCAAUUGGGUCACUCUUUUAACCAUUGAAAGUGAUAGUUAUUAAUAUUUUUUUAACCCUCUCAGUCUUUUAGUAACUAUAAAGAAUUCGACUUUAUAACAAAAUCUUACCAAUUAAAAACAAAUGGAAACUAUAAACCCUAAAAUUUGAAAAUAAAAUAAAAUAAAAUAUUUCAAAAUGCAACAAUUAAACCCCUAAAAACCUAAAAUUGAGCCCUAAAAAACACUAGAAUCGAGAAAUAACAAAAAGUCCUAAGCUU
RNAcentral lists this long non-coding RNA (31570 nucleotides) under Populus trichocarpa (black cottonwood). RNAcentral describes it as "long non-coding RNA (PTRI_LNC003559)". The record is from RNAcentral. Lineage: Eukaryota; Viridiplantae; Streptophyta; Magnoliopsida; Malpighiales; Salicaceae.